UGGGGAAUAUUGGGCAAUGGGGCGCAAGCCUGACCCAGCAACGCCGCGUGAAGGAAGAAGGCUUUCGGGUUGUAAACUUCUUUUAAGGGGAAGAGGAGAAGACGGUACCCCUAGAAUAAGCCACGGCUAACUACGUGCCAGCAGCCGCGGUAAUACGUAGGUGGCAAGCGUUGUCCGGAUUUACUGGGUGUAAAGGGCGUGUAGCCGGGUCUGCAAGUCAGAUGUGAAAUCCAUGGGCUUAACCCAUGAACUGCAUUUGAAACUGUGGAUCUUGAGUGCUGGAGGGGCAAUCGGAAUUCCUAGUGUAGCGGUGAAAUGCGUAGAUAUUAGGAGGAACACCAGUGGCGAAGGCGGAUUGCUGGACAGUAACUGACGGUGAGGCGCGAAAGUGUGGGGAGCAAACAGGAUUAGAUACCCUGGUAGU
This 424-nucleotide ribosomal RNA is filed under the name uncultured Oscillibacter sp. Its description in RNAcentral is "bacterial SSU rRNA". It matches the Rfam family "Bacterial small subunit ribosomal RNA", at positions 355 to 794 of the family's 1533-position model. Lineage: Bacteria; Bacillati; Bacillota; Clostridia; Eubacteriales; Oscillospiraceae. The record is from RNAcentral.